RNAcentral lists this ribosomal RNA (492 nucleotides) under uncultured bacterium. RNAcentral's name for it is "partial 16S ribosomal RNA". It matches the Rfam family "Bacterial small subunit ribosomal RNA", at positions 29 to 507 of the family's 1533-position model. The record is from RNAcentral.
AGUGAACGCUGGCGGUAGGCCUAACACAUGCAAGUCGAACGGCAGCACAGUAAGAGCUUGCUCUUACGGGUGGCGAGUGGCGGACGGGUGAGGAAUACAUCGGAAUCUACUUUUUCGUGGGGGAUAACGUAGGGAAACUUACGCUAAUACCGCAUACGACCUACGGGUGAAAGCAGGGGAUCUUCGGACCUUGCGCGAUUGAAUGAGCCGAUGUCGGAUUAGCUAGUUGGCGGGGUAAAGGCCCACCAAGGCGACGAUCCGUAGCUGGUCUGAGAGGAUGAUCAGCCACAUUGGAACUGAGACACGGUCAAGACUCCUACGGGAGGCAGCAGUGGGGAAUAUUGGACAAUGGGCGCAAGCCUGAUCCAGCCAUACCGCGUGGGUGAAGAAGGCCUUCGGGUUGUAAAGCCCUUUUGUUGGGAAAGAAAAGCAGCAGGUUAAUACCCCGCUGUUCUGACGGUACCCAAAGAAUAAGCACCGGCUAACUUCGUG